Long non-coding RNA from Haliotis rubra (blacklip abalone), 254 nucleotides. RefSeq lists it as uncharacterized. Lineage: Eukaryota; Metazoa; Mollusca; Gastropoda; Lepetellida; Haliotidae. The record is from RefSeq and is a predicted model, not a curated record. The transcript is spliced from 2 exons.
UCUACAAAGAGAUCACCUCACUUGGACACAAAUCACCUAUUACUAAAAGCCGAAGCUUUAUAUAAACUCCAACCCUUUGGCCAUAGUGGAACACCUGAAGUGCUAUAGAUGCCGGUUCGCAGGUGUUGUACUAUUUCAAUCUUAAGCUGUCUAACAAUUUACAAACUCGGUUAUGUAGCAAUGUCCUUGUUCUUGGCGACCAUGGUGGGCUUUUGUUUCAUUUUGGGCAUAUCUGACUGCCAUUUUGGCAUGUU